Molecule: unclassified non-coding RNA, 419 nt
Filed under: soil metagenome
Description: partial contains 5.8S ribosomal RNA, internal transcribed spacer 2, and large subunit ribosomal RNA
Rfam family: 5.8S ribosomal RNA (bases 1-120)
Source: RNAcentral
GAUGAAGAACGCAGCGAAAUGCGAUAAGUAAUGUGAAUUGCAGAAUUCAGUGAAUCAUCGAAUCUUUGAACGCAUCUUGCGCUCCUUGGUAUUCCUUGGAGCAUGCCUGUUUGAGUAUCAUGAGCAAAUCUCAAAGUCAAUUCCUUUUGUUAAUUCAAUUUGGUUUUGCUUUGGACUUGGAGGUCUUGCAGAUUUCACAGUCUGCUCCUCUUAAAUGCAUUAGCUGGAUCUCAGUAAUUAUGCUUGGUUCCACUCGGCGUGAUAAGUAUCACUCGCUGAGGACACUGUUAAAAAGGUGGCCAGGAAAAUACUGAUUGAACCGCUUCUAACGGUCUAUUAAGUUAGACAAUUACCCUUAAGUUUGAUCUCAAAUCAGGUAGGACUACCCGCUGAACUUAAGCAUAUCAAUACGCGGAGGA